AGCUUGUCCGAAUGGUAGUGAGUGUAUCACGGAUGUCACAGCAGUCAGAUUGAACUCCUUGUUCUACUACUUUCCCCCUCCUCACUACUGCACUGACUAGUCUGUA
Molecule: Y RNA, 106 nt
Filed under: Microcebus murinus (gray mouse lemur)
Lineage: Eukaryota; Metazoa; Chordata; Mammalia; Primates; Cheirogaleidae
Description: Y RNA (ENSMICG00000044403.1)
Rfam family: Y RNA
About the family: Y RNAs are components of the Ro ribonucleoprotein particle (Ro RNP), in association with Ro60 and La proteins. The Y RNAs and Ro60 and La proteins are well conserved, but the function of the Ro RNP is not known.
Source: Rfam by way of RNAcentral